Molecule: ribosomal RNA, 814 nt
Filed under: uncultured bacterium
Lineage: Bacteria
Description: bacterial SSU rRNA
Rfam family: Bacterial small subunit ribosomal RNA
Source: RNAcentral
GAAUUCGCCCUUAGAGUUUGAUCCUGGCUCAGGACGAACGCUGGCGGCGUGCUUAACACAUGCAAGUCGAACGAGAAUCACUGGAAGGAGUUUUCGGACAACGGAAGGUGAGGACAGUGGCGGACGGGUGAGUAACGCGUGAGGAACCUGCCUUUCAGAGGGGGACAACAGUUGGAAACGACUGCUAAUACCGCAUGACACAUAGAGAUCGCAUGGUUUUUAUGUCAAAGAUUUAUCGCUGAAAGAUGGCCUCGCGUCUGAUUAGCUAGUUGGUGAGGUAACGGCCCACCAAGGCGACGAUCAGUAGCCGGACUGAGAGGUUGACCGGCCACAUUGGGACUGAGAUACGGCCCAGACUCCUACGGGAGGCAGCAGUGGGGAAUAUUGGGCAAUGGGCGCAAGCCUGACCCAGCAACGCCGCGUGAAGGAAGAAGGCUUUCGGGUUGUAAACUUCUUUUGUCGGGGACGAGUAGAAGACGGUACCUGGCGAAUAAGCCACGGCUAACUACGUGCCAGCAGCCGCGGUAAUACGUAGGUGGCAAGCGUUGUCCGGAUUUACUGGGUGUAAAGGGCGUGUAGCCGGGAAGGCAAGUCAGAUGUGAAAUCCACGGGCUUAACUCGUGAACUGCAUUUGAAACUACUUUUCUUGAGUAUCGGAGAGGCAAUCGGAAUUCCUAGUGUAGCGGUGAAAUGCGUAGAUAUUAGGAGGAACACCAGUGGCGAAGGCGGAUUGCUGGACGACAACUGACGGUGAGGCGCGAAAGCGUGGGGAGCAAACAGGAAGAGAUACCCUGGUAGUCCACGCUGUAAACGA